This 254-nucleotide ribosomal RNA is filed under the name uncultured bacterium. Its description in RNAcentral is "partial 16S ribosomal RNA". It matches the Rfam family "Bacterial small subunit ribosomal RNA", at positions 524 to 776 of the family's 1533-position model. The record is from RNAcentral.
UACGUAGGGGCCUAGCGUUGUCCGGAUUUAUUGGGCGUAAAGAGCUCGUAGGCGGUUCGGUAAGUCAGGUGUGAAAUCUCCACGCUCAACGUGGAGGCGCCACCUGAAGCUGCCGUGACUCGAGUCCGGUAGGGGAGUGCGGAAUUCCUGGUGUAGCGGUGAAAUGCGCAGAUAUCAGGAGGAACACCGGUGGCGAAGGCGGCACUCUGGGCCGGUACUGACGCUGAGGAGCGAAAGCGUGGGGAGCGAACAGG